UACGUAGGGGGCAAGCGUUGUCCGGAAUCAUUGGGCGUAAAGCGCGUGUAGGCGGCUUGGUAAGUCCGUUCUGAAAGCCCGGGGCUCAACCCCGGGAGGCGGAUGGAUACUGUCAAGCUUGAGUCCGGAAGAGGCGAGUGGAAUUCCCGGUGUAGCGGUGAAAUGCGCAGAUAUCGGGAAGAACACCCGUGGCGAAGGCGGCUCUCUGGGACGGUACUGACGCUGAGACGCGAAAGCGUGGGGAGCGAACAGG
This 253-nucleotide ribosomal RNA is filed under the name uncultured bacterium. Its description in RNAcentral is "partial 16S ribosomal RNA". It matches the Rfam family "Bacterial small subunit ribosomal RNA", at positions 524 to 776 of the family's 1533-position model. The record is from RNAcentral.